CCUACGGGGGACAGCAGUGAGGAAUAUUGGUCAAUGGACACAAGUCUGAACCAGCCAUGCCGCGUGCAGGAAGACGGCUCUAUGAAUUGUAAACCGCUUUUGUACGAGGACAAACGCAGAUACGUGUAUCUGUCUGAGUGUAUCGUACGAAAAAGGAUCGGCUAACUCCGUGCCAGCAGCCGCGGUAAUACGGAGGAUUCAAGCGUUAUCCGGAUUUAUUGGGGUUAAAGGGUGCGUAGGCGGUCGGAUAAGUUAGAGGUGAAAUCCCGAGGCUCAACUUCGGAAUUGCCUCUGAUACUGUUCGGCUAGAGAGUGGUUGCGGUAGGCGGAAUGUACGGUGUAGCGGUGAAAUGCUUAGAUAUCAUACAGAACACCGAUUGCGAAGGCAGCAUACCAAGCUACUUCUGACGUUGAGGCACGAAAGCGUGGGGAGCAAACAGGAUUAGAUACCCUAGUAGUC
RNAcentral lists this ribosomal RNA (460 nucleotides) under uncultured bacterium. Its description in RNAcentral is "partial 16S ribosomal RNA". It matches the Rfam family "Bacterial small subunit ribosomal RNA", at positions 338 to 795 of the family's 1533-position model. The record is from RNAcentral.